Molecule: long non-coding RNA, 202 nt
Filed under: Elaeis guineensis (African oil palm)
Lineage: Eukaryota; Viridiplantae; Streptophyta; Magnoliopsida; Arecales; Arecaceae
Description: long non-coding RNA (EGUI_LNC075302)
Source: RNAcentral
GCUUUGAUCUUUCUCCAAAUUAAGAACAAAUCCUUAGUUCUUCUCAACUACUUAACGAUAUUUUCACAGCAAUCCAGUACUCCUAGUCUGGAUACAACUGAUAUCUAUUUAUGACAUUCAUAGUAUUAACUAUAUCAGUUCAAGUAUAAUACAUAGCAUACAUCUAUGUCCGAGAGGAUAGCAUAACUCUCUCCAAGAUUUC